CAAUAGCGUAUAUUAAAGUUGUUGCAGUUAAAAAGCUCGUAGUUGGAUUUGUGGCUGUCACGGGCGGCCUAUCACUUAGUGUUAGUGCUUGCCUGUGUCGCCAUCCUUGGGUGGAGCCCGUGUGGCAUUAGGUUGUCGCGCGGGGGAUGCCCAUCGUUUACUGUGAGAAAAUUAGAGUGUUCAAAGCAGGCUUAUGCCGUUGAAUAUGUUAGCAUGGAAUAAUAAGAUAGGACCUCGGUACUAUUUUGUUGGUUUGCGCACCGAGGUAAUGAUUAAUAGGGACAGUUGGGGGUAUUCGUAUUUCAUUGUCAGAGGUGAAAUUCUUGGAUUUCUGAAAGACGAACUACUGCGAAAGCAUUUACCAAGGAUGUUUUCAUUAA
Molecule: ribosomal RNA, 380 nt
Filed under: uncultured eukaryote
Lineage: Eukaryota
Description: partial 18S ribosomal RNA
Rfam family: Eukaryotic small subunit ribosomal RNA
Source: RNAcentral